This is a long non-coding RNA of Rana temporaria (common frog), 325 nucleotides long. RefSeq lists it as uncharacterized. Lineage: Eukaryota; Metazoa; Chordata; Amphibia; Anura; Ranidae. The record is from RefSeq and is a predicted model, not a curated record. The transcript is spliced from 3 exons.
CCUCAGGACCAGUGAAUAGCAUAAAUUAAGGCAUGGUUAGCCGCCACCCUAUUCUUCUUUUUUUCCCUCAUACCUCACGCACCAGUGAAGAAUACGGAGGCUCGAGUGGACCAUCACUUGCUGGACAGCUGAUCCACCUUACACCAUUUGGAAGGGAGCCGACCACAGAAGCAGUGGAUAGGAGCCGGUGAUUCCAGGAGUGUACACUACGUGCCUGAUACCCCAAGCGGCGACUUCUGUCUGUUUCCCAUGUUUUCACACAUGUCAUAUACGUACCUUUGCCCAGGAAGCUGGUGAGUAGACACUGCCUGGAGAAGUAUGCAGC